AUGGCGUCGCCGGCAUUCGCAGUUUCCGCGGCGGGCCUCGCCCGGCCGUCGGCUCCUCGAUCCGGCGGGCCAGAGCGGAGGGGGCGCGGGGUGGAGCUGCAGUCGCCAUCGCUGCUCUUCGGCCGCAACAAGGGCACCCGUUCACCCCGUGCCGUCGGCGUCGGAGGUUCUGGAUGGCGCGUGGUCAUGCGCGCGGGUGGGCCGUCCGGGGAGGUGAUGAUCCCUGACGGCGGUAGUGGCGGAACACCGCCUUCCAUCGACGGUCCCGUUCAGUUCGACUCUGAUGAUCUGAAGGUUCCAUUCAUCGAUGAUGAAACAAGCCUACAGGAUGGAGGUGAAGAUACUAUUUGGUCUUCAGAGACAAAUCAGGUUACUGAAGAAAUUGAUGCUGAAGGCACGAGCAGAAUGGACAAAGAAUCAUCUACGGGAGAGAAAUUACGCAUUCUGCCACCACCGGGAAAUGGACAGCAAAUAUACGAGAUUGACCCAACGCUCCGAGACUUUAAGUACCAUCUUGAGUAUCGAUACAGCCUAUAUAGGAGAAUACGUUCAGACAUUGAUGAACACAAAGGAGGCAUGGAUGUAUUUUCCCGCGGUUACGAGAAGUUUGGAUUUGUGCGCAGCGCUGAAGGUAUCACUUACCGAGAAUGGGCUCCUGGAGCAGAUUCUGCAGCAUUAGUUGGCGACUUCAACAAUUGGGAUCCAAAUGCAGACCAUAUGAGCAAAAAUGACUUGGGUAUUUGGGAGAUUUUUCUGCCAAACAAUGCAGACGGUUCGCCACCAAUUCCUCACGGCUCACGGGUGCGAAUGGGUACUCCAUCUGGGACAAAGGAUUCAAUUCCUGCUUGGAUCAAGUACUCCGUGCAGACUCCAGGAGAUAUACCAUACAAUGGAAUAUAUUAUGAUCCUCCCGAAGAGGAGAAGUAUGUAUUCAAGCAUCCUCAACCUAAACGACCAAAAUCAUUGCGGAUAUAUGAAACACAUGUUGGCAUGAGUAGCCCGGAACCAAAGAUCAACACAUAUGCAAACUUUCGGGAUGAGGUGCUUCCAAGAAUUAAAAGACUUGGGUACAAUGCAGUGCAAAUAAUGGCAAUCCAAGAGCACUCAUACUAUGGAAGCUUUGGGUACCAUGUUACCAAUUUCUUUGCACCAAGUAGCCGUUUUGGGUCCCCAGAAGAUUUAAAAUCUUUGAUUGAUAGAGCUCACGAGCUUGGCUUGGUUGUCCUCAUGGAUGUUGUUCACAGUCACGCGUCAAAUAAUACCUUGGACGGGUUGAAUGGUUUUGAUGGCACGGAUACACAUUACUUUCAUGGCGGUUCACGGGGCCAUCAUUGGAUGUGGGAUUCCCGUGUGUUCAACUACGGGAAUAAGGAAGUUAUAAGGUUUCUACUUUCCAAUGCAAGAUGGUGGCUAGAGGAGUAUAAGUUUGAUGGUUUCCGAUUCGACGGCGCGACCUCCAUGAUGUAUACCCACCAUGGAUUACAAGUAACCUUUACAGGGAGCUACCAUGAAUACUUUGGCUUUGCCACUGAUGUAGAUGCGGUCGUUUACUUGAUGCUGGUGAAUGAUCUAAUUCAUGGGUUUUAUCCCGAAGCGGUAACUAUCGGUGAAGAUGUUAGUGGAAUGCCUACAUUUGCCCUUCCUGUUCAAGUUGGUGGAGUUGGUUUUGACUAUCGCUUACAUAUGGCUGUUGCCGACAAAUGGAUUGAACUUCUCAAAGGAAAUGAUGAAGCUUGGGAGAUGGGUAAUAUUGUGCACACACUAACAAAUAGAAGGUGGUUGGAAAAGUGUGUUACUUAUGCUGAAAGUCACGAUCAAGCACUGGUUGGAGACAAGACUAUUGCAUUCUGGUUGAUGGACAAGGAUAUGUAUGAUUUCAUGGCUCUGAACGGACCUUCGACACCUAAUAUUGAUCGUGGAAUAGCACUGCAUAAAAUGAUUAGACUUAUCACAAUGGGUUUAGGAGGAGAGGGUUAUCUUAACUUUAUGGGAAAUGAGUUCGGGCAUCCUGAAUGGAUAGACUUUCCAAGAGGCCCACAAGUACUUCCAACUGGUAAGUUCAUCCCAGGAAACAACAACAGUUACGACAAAUGCCGUCGAAGAUUUGACCUGGGUGAUGCAGAAUUUCUUAGGUAUCAUGGUAUGCAGCAGUUUGAUCAGGCGAUGCAGCAUCUUGAGGAAAAAUAUGGCUUUAUGACAUCAGACCACCAGUACGUAUCUCGGAAACAUGAGGAAGAUAAGGUGAUCGUGUUUGAAAAAGGGGACUUGGUAUUUGUGUUCAACUUCCACUGGAGUAAUAGCUAUUUCGACUACCGGGUUGGCUGUUUAAAGCCUGGGAAGUACAAGGUUGUCUUAGACUCAGACGCCGGACUCUUUGGUGGAUUUGGUAGGAUCCAUCACACUGCAGAGCACUUCACUUCUGACUGCCAACAUGACAACAGGCCCCAUUCGUUCUCAGUGUACACUCCUAGCAGAACCUGUGUUGUCUAUGCUCCAAUGAACUAA
Molecule: ribosomal RNA, 2505 nt
Filed under: Triticum aestivum (bread wheat)
Lineage: Eukaryota; Viridiplantae; Streptophyta; Magnoliopsida; Poales; Poaceae
Description: partial small subunit ribosomal RNA
Source: RNAcentral